RNAcentral lists this transfer RNA (612 nucleotides) under uncultured Prochlorococcus sp. RNAcentral describes it as "partial contains 16S ribosomal RNA, 16S-23S ribosomal RNA intergenic spacer, and 23S ribosomal RNA". The stretch from base 227 to 299 matches the Rfam family "tRNA". Lineage: Bacteria; Bacillati; Cyanobacteriota; Cyanophyceae; Synechococcales; Prochlorococcaceae. The record is from RNAcentral.
UGGAUCACCUCCUAACAGGGAGACAACAAAAUGUUUAAUAUUAUUAUUUUGUCACCUUAGGUCGAUCGGUAUCUCACGUUCUUAAUUUAUUAAGAAUUUCAUUUCCUAAGUUUUUCUAGGUCACACCCAUUAUUUUUCCUGGGCCAUUAGCUCAGGUGGUUAGAGCGCACCCCUGAUAAGGGUGAGGUCCCUGGUUCAAGUCCAGGAUGGCCCAUAUCUCUAUGUUGGGGGUAUAGCUCAGUUGGUAGAGCGCCUGCUUUGCAAGCAGGAUGUCAGCGGUUCGAGUCCGCUUACCUCCACUGAUUACCACCUCUUCCAUAACCGGUAGAAAGGAAAUGUUUUGAGUUGUGAUCAUUAUUCUGAACGAAUCUAGCUUCCUAAUGAAAUCAUUAAGAUGCUGGACUCAUUGAAUUAAUUUCAUUGUUUUCAGAGAACCUUGACAACUGCAUAGAUUAUUUUUAAAGACAAUAAGCAUCUUUAAUGAUGCAGAUUUAUUAUUUGUGCGAAUGCAUUAAUAACAAUUCUAUUGAGUUGAUGCUUCAAUUUUUGAAGUUAUUGGUCAAGCUACAAAGGGCUCACGGAGGAUACCUAGGCACACAGAGGCGAUGAAGG